AGCAUUCACCAGGGGUGUCCCGACAAGGGGCUGAGAUUCUGCUAGGCGGUUUCCGCGGCGCAGUGACCCGUUGAACCUGAUCCAGUUCAUACUGGCGUAGGGACGGUGCAGACAUCGCUGC
Molecule: non-coding RNA, 121 nt
Filed under: Ensifer sp.
Lineage: Bacteria; Pseudomonadati; Pseudomonadota; Alphaproteobacteria; Hyphomicrobiales; Rhizobiaceae
Description: TPP sequence
Rfam family: TPP riboswitch aptamer (THI element)
About the family: Vitamin B(1) in its active form thiamin pyrophosphate (TPP) is an essential coenzyme that is synthesised by coupling of pyrimidine and thiazole moieties in bacteria. The previously detected thiamin-regulatory element, thi box was extended, resulting in a new, highly conserved RNA secondary structure, the THI element, which is widely distributed in eubacteria and also occurs in some archaea.
Source: RNAcentral